Molecule: ribosomal RNA, 253 nt
Filed under: uncultured bacterium
Lineage: Bacteria
Description: partial 16S ribosomal RNA
Rfam family: Bacterial small subunit ribosomal RNA
Source: RNAcentral
UACGGAGGGUGCAAGCGUUAUCCGGAUUCACUGGGCUUAAAGGGUGCGUAGGUGGGUAUGUAAGUCAGUGGUGAAAUCUCCGUGCUUAACAUGGAAACUGCCAUUGAUACUAUGUUUCUUGAAUUUUCUGGAGGUAAGCGGAAUAUGUCAUGUAGCGGUGAAAUGCUUAGAUAUGACAUAGAACACCAAUUGCGAAGGCAGCUUGCUGCAGUGAUAUUGACACUGAUGCACGAAAGCGUGGGGAUCAAACAGG